This 260-nucleotide unclassified non-coding RNA is filed under the name uncultured fungus. RNAcentral's name for it is "partial contains 5.8S ribosomal RNA, internal transcribed spacer 2, and large subunit ribosomal RNA". The stretch from base 1 to 52 matches the Rfam family "5.8S ribosomal RNA", at positions 103 to 154 of the family's 154-position model. The record is from RNAcentral. Lineage: Eukaryota; Fungi.
AACGCACAUUGCGCCCGCCAGUAUUCUGGCGGGCAUGCCUGUUCGAGCGUCAUUUCAACCCUCAGGCCCACCCGGGUCUGGUGCUGGGGCUUCUCUGCGGUGGACACGCCGCAGGCCCUGAAGGACAGUGGCGGGCCUGCUGGACACCCGAGCGUAGUAGUGACCUCUCGCUAAGGGCUGUCCCGGCGGGGACCCGGCCGUAAAACCCCCAACUUCUGAAUGUUGACCUCGAAUCAGGUAGGAAUACCCGCUGAACUUAA